UACGUAGGUGGCAAGCGUUGUCCGGAUUUACUGGGCGUAAAGAGCGCGCAGGCGGUCGUUCAAGUCGCGUGUGAAAGCCCCCGGCUCAACUGGGGAGGGUCACGCGAUACUGAUCGACUCGAAGGCAGGAGAGGGUAGUGGAAUUCCCGGUGUAGUGGUGAAAUGCGUAGAUAUCGGGAAGAACACCGGUGGCGAAGGCGGCUCGCUGGGCCGUUGCUGACGCUGAGGCGCGAAAGCGUGGGGAGCGAACAGG
Molecule: ribosomal RNA, 253 nt
Filed under: uncultured bacterium
Lineage: Bacteria
Description: partial 16S ribosomal RNA
Rfam family: Bacterial small subunit ribosomal RNA
Source: RNAcentral